This 578-nucleotide ribosomal RNA is filed under the name uncultured bacterium. RNAcentral describes it as "bacterial SSU rRNA". It matches the Rfam family "Bacterial small subunit ribosomal RNA", at positions 102 to 694 of the family's 1533-position model. The record is from RNAcentral.
ACGGGUGAGUAACACGUGGGUAACCUGCCCCGUACUCUGGGAUAAGCCUGGGAAACUAGGUCUAGUACCGGAUAUGACUCCUUUGGGCAUCUGAAGGGGUGGAAAGUUCCGGCGGUACGGGAUGGGCCCGCGGCCUAUCAGCUUGUUGGUGGGGUGAUGGCCUACCAAGGCGACGACGGGUAGCCGGCCUGAGAGGGUGACCGGCCACACUGGGACUGAGACACGGCCCAGACUCCUACGGGAGGCAGCAGUGGGGAAUAUUGCACAAUGGGCGAAAGCCUGAUGCAGCGACGCCGCGUGAGGGAUGACGGCCUUCGGGUUGUAAACCUCUUUCAGCAGGGACGAAGCGUGAGUGACGGUACCUGCAGAAGAAGCACCGGCUAACUACGUGCCAGCAGCCGCGGUAAUACGUAGGGUGCGAGCGUUGUCCGGAAUUAUUGGGCGUAAAGAGCUCGUAGGCGGUUUGUUGCGUCGGCCGUGAAAACUUCACGCUUAACGUGGAGCCUGCGGUCGAUACGGGCAGACUUGAGUUCGGCAGGGGAGACUGGAAUUCCUGGUGUAGCGGUGAAAUGCGCAGA